This 918-nucleotide unclassified non-coding RNA is filed under the name Hevea brasiliensis (rubber tree). The record is from RNAcentral. Lineage: Eukaryota; Viridiplantae; Streptophyta; Magnoliopsida; Malpighiales; Euphorbiaceae.
CAAACAGAGGAUCUUCUGCCUCAAUAACAAGGCAUCAAAACUAGUUCUAUUACACAUCCAAAUUUGCAGAGCAACACAAGUUUUAAAACCCUUCUUAAUGCUUGAACUGAAAUUCACAAACCCAUUUAUUUGUUCCAUAUAUAUGGUUAUUUCGCACGGUGAAGAUAAAGAAGAAGCAAUUGCAGAAACUUCAAGGCUUAAACAGCUACUGGAUGGACUAGGAAAGUAGCCAGGAUAUCCUUGAGUGAAGUCUUGGAGUUUGUAUAACUAUCUUCAUCUUUGUAAACAACAUCCAUGACCCUUACAAUGUUCAGAAUACACAUCAAAAUAGGCUUUGGAAUAUCUGCAGUUUCUUUCAGGAGCUCCUCGUUGAGGUCUUUCCACAAAUUUAUGACUAUUUUGUAUAACUCAUCAUAUGCCUCCUGCUGUGAUACGCCAUGCUGCUUCAUAUAGCAUUCCACAGCUGAAGCAACAUGUCCCCUUUCUUGCUCAAACUCAUGGGACCUGAUGUCAUCUAUGAGCCUGGCAAGACCUGAUGCAGCAUAUAAAAGUUUAGGUUCAGUGAAAAGCCAAUCAAAGACCUCUUUUGAAGCCACUUCGCCCAUCCCACAGAAGGAUAAGGUUAUCAAGAUAGGGUAAGUAGAGCUGAUCACUGCAACAGAAAUAUAUUCUUCUAAUGUUGGCACAUAAUCACUGUUGAACCAUCUUGCUUCAGUGAUAUAAGCUCUCACUUGCUUCUUCACCGCUUCCUUUGGGUAGUGAAUGCAGAAUGGCCUCCCUUCCUUUGUAGUUACUGCCUCUAUUUCAGCAUAGAAAUCUAAAAAUGCUUCUAAAUACGCCUUCAUGUAAUCCGGAAGUUGAUCUUUCAUGCUAAUAUCCCACCUGAAAUCUCAAUAUUAUGUUAAGUGUCCAGUUCCA